Molecule: non-coding RNA, 99 nt
Organism: Ataeniobius toweri
Lineage: Eukaryota; Metazoa; Chordata; Actinopteri; Cyprinodontiformes; Goodeidae
Source: the annotation of a GenBank genome assembly
GGCGCGGUGCUGAUGGUGUAGGGGUUAAGCGCACAACCAUAUACUGAGGCUACAGUCCUCGAAGCGGCCGUCCCGGGUUCGAGUCCCAGACCCGCGACA